GGGAGAUUCUUUUCCGAGUGCAGCGGCGUAUCUAUUCGGUACACGGAAAUAAAAAAAAAAAUUUAUAAACGAGGAGGUUGGCCGUUGCUGUGACAGAGAGGUGUCGAUAGUUUGAGAGAGUAGGUGUUGAAAAGGCAGAUUCCUCCAAGGCCCAUUGGCGGAGGUUUCAACCCAUUAGCCCCCAAAACCAUUUCCUCUUAAGUUCAAUUCACCAACCCAUUUCAAUCAUCUCUCAUUCAUACACCUCUGUCUUCUCUAGAUCUCUCUCUCAAGACUUACAAGAUGGCAGCAACAUCAGCAGCAACCUUUACAGUUGGCUCAGCUGUCUCUUUGGGCCUGAAAGCGAGCCAACUUCCACAGUCAAAGCAGUUUGUUGUGAGGUUCAACUCCCAGAACUCGCUAACAAGCUUCAGUGGUCUCAAGGCAUCAACCUCUGUGAACUGUGAAUCAGAGUCAUCCUUCAUAGGCAAGGAAAGUGCUGUGGCCCUUCGAGGAUCUUUUGCUUCAAAAGCCCAGAAAUCAAGCCAGAGGUCACAGCAUCACCUAAAUCCCCAGGCCUCUUACAAAGUGGCAAUUCUUGGCGCUGCUGGAGGGAUAGGUCAGCCCCUUGCCCUUCUAAUCAAGAUGUCCCCAUUAGUUUC
Molecule: unclassified non-coding RNA, 641 nt
Filed under: Hevea brasiliensis (rubber tree)
Lineage: Eukaryota; Viridiplantae; Streptophyta; Magnoliopsida; Malpighiales; Euphorbiaceae
Source: RNAcentral